Molecule: transfer RNA, 76 nt
Filed under: Alphaproteobacteria bacterium
Lineage: Bacteria; Pseudomonadati; Pseudomonadota; Alphaproteobacteria
Also listed under: 1 other name
Description: tRNA-Phe
Rfam family: tRNA
About the family: Transfer RNA (tRNA) molecules are approximately 80 nucleotides in length. Their secondary structure includes four short double-helical elements and three loops (D, anti-codon, and T loops).
Source: RNAcentral
GCCGAGUUGGUGUAGUCGGCCUGCACGCCUGCCUGAAGAGCAGGAGGUUCUCGUUCGAUGCGAGGGCUCGGCACCA